GUGUGUGUUUCGGUCAUAAGGGAAACCUGACCCACACCCCCUAAACCGAAGGGACGUGCACUUGUCAACUGUCUGUACCUGUCCAGUGCGGAAAACAGCCGACUGAAGGGUAACUUAUUUUUGGAUGAAUGCAGGGGGAAGAUGUACUACCCAUCUGCAUUCUCCUGAUGGUUAAAAGAUAACACCCAGGCCACUUUGCAGCUGCCAAAGCAACUCCCCAGACAAAGGUCAGCCACAGUCACCAGACAAAGAUUUCAAUAGCCACAAAUCCCUGCCUGAUGCAC
Molecule: long non-coding RNA, 284 nt
Organism: Mauremys mutica (yellowpond turtle)
Lineage: Eukaryota; Metazoa; Chordata; Testudines; Geoemydidae
Exons: 3
Source: RefSeq, a predicted model, not a curated record